This 1319-nucleotide ribosomal RNA is filed under the name metagenome. Its description in RNAcentral is "bacterial LSU rRNA". It matches the Rfam family "Bacterial large subunit ribosomal RNA", at positions 1564 to 2925 of the family's 2925-position model. The record is from RNAcentral.
CGAGUGGAUCCGCAAGGUGAAGCGAAGCAGGCUGCGGGAGGGUCGCGAAAAGCUUCUGUAGGAGUCUGCAUUCGACCGUACCGCAAACCGACACAGGUGGGCGCGUAGAGGAUACGAAGGCGUUCGAGAUAACUCUCGCUAAGGAACUAGGCAAAAUGGCCCCGUAACUUCGGGAGAAGGGGCGCUCCUCGCAAGGGGAGCCGCAGCAAAGCGGACCGAGCGACUGUUUACCAAAAACACAGGUCUCUGCUAAGCCGAAAGGCGAUGUAUAGGGGCUGACGCCUGCCCAAUGCCAGAAGGUUAACAGGAGGGGUGAACCGAAAGGGGCAGCCUCGAAUCGAAGCCCUGGUGAAUGGCGGCCGUAACUAUAACGGUCCUAAGGUAGCGAAAUUCCUUGUCGGGUAAGUUCCGACCCGCACGAAUGGCGUAACGACUUGGUCGCUGUCUCAGCGAGAGACUCGGUGAAAUUGUAGCAUGCGUGAAGAUGCGCAUUCCCCGCCGCAGGACGGAAAGACCCCAUGGAGCUUUACUGCACCCUGUCAUUGCGUAUCGGCUAUGCCUGUAGAGCGUAGGUGGGAGAUUCGUCGACAAUGGAACACCACCCUGUCGUAGCGGAUAUGCUAACUCGCGGAGUUAUCCUUCUCGAGGACCGUGGCAGGCGGGCAGUUUGACUGGGGCGGUCGCCUCCCAAAAGGUAACGGAGGCGCCCAAAGGUUGCCUCAGCCUGGUUGGAUAUCAGGCAUUGCGUGCAAGGGCAGAAGGCAGCUUGACUGUGAGGCCGACGGGCCGAGCAGGGACGAAAGUCGGGCCUAGUGAUCCUCUGGCUUCGCGUGGGCGUGCCAGGGCUCAUCGGAUAAAAGCUACCCUGGGGAUAACAGGCUUAUCUUGCCCAAGCGCUCACAGCGACGGCAAGGUUUGGCACCUCGAUGUCGGCUCGUCGCAUCCUGGGGCUGUAUUAGGUCCCAAGGGUUGGGCUGUUCGCCCAUUAAAGCGGUACGCGAGCUGGGUUCAGAACGUCGUGAGACAGUUCGGUCCCUAUCCGCGGCGGGCGCAGGGAUUUUGAGGGGGGCUGACCCUAGUACGAGAGGACCGGGUUGGACGGACCGCUGGUGUACCAGUUGUGCCGCCAGGCGCAGACGCUGGGUAGCUACGUCCGGGAGCGAUAAGCGCUGAAAGCAUAUAAGCGCGAAGCGCGCCCCAAGAUGAGAAUCCCCACAGCAUAAGCUGGUAAGGUCCCCGGCAGACUACCGGGUUGAUAGGCGGGAGGUGGAAGCGUGGUGACAUGUGGAGCUGACCCGUACUAAGUGACCGAGGGCUUU